UGGGGAAUUUUGGACAAUGGGGGAAACCCUGAUCCAGCCAUGCCGCGUGAGUGAAGAAGGCCUUCGGGUUGUAAAGCUCUUUUGUCAGGGAGCAAAUCCUGCCUGCUAAUACUAGGUGGGGAUGAGAGUACCUGAAGAAUAAGCACCGGCUAACUACGUGCCAGCAGCCGCGGUAAUACGUAGGGUGCGAGCGUUAAUCGGAAUUACUGGGCGUAAAGCGUGCGCAGGUGGUUACGUAAGUCUGAUGUGAAAUCCCCGAGCUUAACUUGGGAACUGCAUUGGAGACUGCGUGGCUAGAGUGUGUCAGAGGGGGGUGGAAUUCCACGUGUAGCAGUGAAAUGCGUAGAGAUGUGGAGGAACACCGAUGGCGAAGGCAGCCCCCUGGGAUAACACUGACACU
Molecule: ribosomal RNA, 400 nt
Filed under: uncultured bacterium
Lineage: Bacteria
Description: bacterial SSU rRNA
Rfam family: Bacterial small subunit ribosomal RNA
Source: RNAcentral